RNAcentral lists this ribosomal RNA (1207 nucleotides) under Triticum aestivum (bread wheat). Its description in RNAcentral is "partial small subunit ribosomal RNA". The record is from RNAcentral. Lineage: Eukaryota; Viridiplantae; Streptophyta; Magnoliopsida; Poales; Poaceae.
AAGGUUCAGUGGCGCGAGGAGACUUGUGUUCGUGCGAUAGAGUGGGACCGGUGUGUGUUUGGAUUUGGAUUUAGCGUGUGAUCGGCGGCGGUGGUAAGGAGAGGCAGCUAAGCCAGUACGGCGACGUGCAGGGUGGUAGCGGGCGCCCCCGGAUGCGGUGGGCUUCGAGGGCAUGUAGAACGUCACGUCGAGGUGGUGGUCGUCGGACUCCACUUCGGGGCAGCAGUCGAGUAGGCCGCUGGCUGCGGUGCAGACGGCUAAGCCAGCGCGGCGACGCGGAGGUGGCGGUCGCCGCGGUGCGCCGGUGGGCUUCGAGAACGGGUCGGGCACCACGUAGGGCUGCACAGCGGGACCGCUACCUGCUGGUCGGGUAGCUAAACGCGACCACGAAGAGGCUGACGGUAAUCAGGGGGGUUUCCUAAGAAUAUGGGGCACGAAGGUAGGUGUUGGUUCCUCGUCGUGUUUGGGGACGUAGGGCUCCACGGUCGGUCGGCAGGGAGAAGGUGGAGGCCACUACCGAGGGGAUAAGGGGGAACAGGACGGGAGGAAACUUAGGUUGGCAACGUAGGAGCAGAAGUUAACUUAGAUAAAUGUCUCCCUUUUGAGGUGUUCUCCGAAGACUUCGAACCAGUUGUGGAUGUACUCCUAAUACUUUCCAACUACGUUCGGUCGAAGUCUUCCUCGAGUUCCGUAUGUCCUUCUGGCUCCUGCUCCCCUACUUGUAUGAAAACUUGUGAUGGAGGUAAAAACACGUCAAAGAGAGUUCCGUGAUUCUACACUAUUUAGUACUACCGUGUGAUAGUUGAAUAUAUUCAAGGAACUCCCAUUUUCGUUCAUUACUUGUUCGCUUUACCGAGUAGGUCUUCAACUAUAUUCUACAAAACUACCAGCCAAAACAAGUGUUGUACAAACUGUGUAAAACACCUAUACCUUCAACUACAGUCGAGCCACUAGCUUCUCUAAACCAGAGAAGCAAUUAUAAAACAUCAUCAGUUCACUAGCUUGUUAACCCAGAGAAUCCUCGGACCGGUAGUAUAAAACAUUAUCUGGUACAGAACAUACAGUUGAAUAAAUGAAUAACCAACAUCGACUGAACUCACAUCGUUUGAUGACUUAGAACAUAUAUACGCACUUACUUACAUAAUUAGUUACCAUACAAGACUACUUAGCUUCUCAUACAAAACAAACAUAUACAUAACGUGUGACC